This 1120-nucleotide long non-coding RNA is filed under the name Struthio camelus australis. RNAcentral describes it as "lncRNA (ENSSCUG00000012022.1)". Lineage: Eukaryota; Metazoa; Chordata; Aves; Struthioniformes; Struthionidae. The record is from RNAcentral.
ACUCUGAAUGUUCUGGGAUGAGCCAGUAUUCAGGUGGGCAUUUCAUUACAAGAGGAUUUGAUGGUAAGCAGGGGAAUGGUGCACUGUAAAAAUAAGCCUGGUGAAGUUGGCAGAGGAAGGCCUAGUUUUGAAAAGCUGGCAGAAACUGCCCUUGCUGCAAUGAAGGCCUGCUUAGAUAGCAGUGGAAUAUGAGGCCCAGUAGCUGUUGCCUUUAAUUCCCUUGCAUCCUGACAGGAAAGGAGAGAAAGCACUUUAUCAGGCACAUGUGUGCUUGGGAGCGAGCAGGACCUCAAGAACAGUGCAUCCCUCUGAGUAAGAAGUCCAGCAAAGCAGGCAGGAGACCUGCAUGGCUGAGCAAGGAACUCCUGGCAAAACUCCAACAGAAGCAGGAAGUCCACAGAAUGUGGAAAAGGGGACAGGCCACUUGGGAGGAAUACAGGGACGUUGUCAGAGCGUGCAGGGAUGCGACGAGGAAGGCUAAGGCCCAGUUGGAAUUAAAUCUGGCAAGGGAUGUCAAGGACAACAAGAAGGGCUUCUUCAAAUACAUCAAGAGUGAAAGGACGACUAGGGAAAAUGUGGGCCCGCUGCUGAAUGGGGGGGGUGCCCUGGUGACAAAGGAUACAGAGAAGGCAGAGCUGCUGAAUGCCUUCUUUGCUUCAGUCUUCACUGCUAAGGCCAGCCCUGAGGAAUUCCAGACCCUGGGGACAAGAGAGGAAGUCUGGAGAAAGGAAGACUCCCCCUUGGUCGAGGAGGAUCGAGUUAGAGAUCAUUUGUGGAAACCUGACAUCCACAAAUCCACGGGCCCCAAUGGGAUACACUCCCGAGUGGUGAGGGAGCUGGCGGAUGUUACUGCUAGGCUGCUCUCCAUCAUCUUGGAAAGGUCCUGGCAGUCAGGAGAGGUGCCUGAGGACUGCAAGAAAGCCAGUGUCACUGCAGUCUCCAAAAAGGGCAAGAAGGAGGAGCCAGGGAACUCCAGGCCUGUCAGCCUCCCCUCCAUCCCUGGAAAGGUGAUGGAACAGCUCCUCCUGGAGGUCCUCACUAAGCAUGUGGAGGACAAGAAGGUGAUCAGGAGUAGUCAGCAUGGAUUCACCAAAGGGAAAUCAUGCUNNNNNNNNNNNNN